RNAcentral lists this unclassified non-coding RNA (353 nucleotides) under soil metagenome. RNAcentral describes it as "partial contains 5.8S ribosomal RNA, internal transcribed spacer 2, and large subunit ribosomal RNA". The stretch from base 1 to 121 matches the Rfam family "5.8S ribosomal RNA", at positions 35 to 154 of the family's 154-position model. The record is from RNAcentral.
GAUGAAGAACGUAGCGAAAUGCGAUAAGUAAUGCGAAUUGCAGAAUUUCCGUGAGUCAUCGAAUCUUUGAACGCACAUUGCGCCCACUGGUAUUCCGGUGGGCAUGCCUGUUCGAGCGUCAUUAUCCCCCCUCAAAACUCUUGUUUUGGUGUUGGGCCGCGUUGGUCAGCCCGACCAACGGGCCUUAAAGACAAUGACGGCGUCCGUGGGACCCUCUUCGCAACGAGCUUUCAUUAGCACGCGUCGAGUCUAAAGGACCUUCCGGGCCGGCCAUCCUUUUAUUUAUAUUACAAGGUUGACCUCGGAUCAGGUAUGAAUACCCGCUGAACUUAAGCAUAUCAAUAAGCGGAGGA